UACGAAGGGGGCUAGCGUUGCUCGGAAUCACUGGGCGUAAAGGGUGCGUAGGCGGGUCUUUAAGUCAUGGGUGAAAUCCUGGAGCUCAACUCCAGAACUGCCUUUGAUACUGAGGAUCUUGAGUUCGGGAGAGGUGAGUGGAACUGCGAGUGUAGAGGUGAAAUUCGUAGAUAUUCGCAAGAACACCAGUGGCGAAGGCGGCUCACUGGCCCGAUACUGACGCUGAGGCACGAAAGCGUGGGGAGCAAACAGG
RNAcentral lists this ribosomal RNA (253 nucleotides) under uncultured bacterium. Its description in RNAcentral is "partial 16S ribosomal RNA". It matches the Rfam family "Bacterial small subunit ribosomal RNA", at positions 524 to 776 of the family's 1533-position model. The record is from RNAcentral.